Molecule: ribosomal RNA, 528 nt
Filed under: Trigona fuscipennis
Lineage: Eukaryota; Metazoa; Arthropoda; Insecta; Hymenoptera; Apidae
Description: partial 16S large subunit ribosomal RNA
Rfam family: Archaeal large subunit ribosomal RNA (bases 376-528)
Source: RNAcentral
GUCUUAUUGAUUAUAAUUNUAAGUCGAUCUGCCCAAUGAAAAGGUUUAAUGGCUGCAGUAUACCUGACUGUGCAAAGGUAGCAUAAUAAUUUGAUUUUUAAAUGAAAUCUGGAAUGAAAGAAUUAAUGAAAUAUAUACUGUCUCUUAUUUAUAAUAUGAAUUUAAAUUUUUAAUAAAAAUGUUAAAAUUUUUUUAUGGGACGAUAAGACCCUAUAGAAUUUUAUAUUUAAUUAAUUUUAUAUAAAUAAUAUAAAAUUUAAUUAAAUAUUUAAUUGGGAGAAUUAUUAAAUUUAAUAAAUUUUAAUAAAAAUAAACUUUAAUUAAAGAAAAUAUUUUGAUCUUUAAAUUAAAAUAAAUAGAUUAAAUUACCUUAGGGAUAACAGCGUAAUAUUUUUUUAUAGAUCGUAUAGAAAAAAAUGAUUGCGACCUCGAUGUUGAAUUAAGAUAAAUUUUAAAUGCAGGAGUUUAAUGAUUAAGUCUGUUCGACUUUUAAAAUCUUACAUGAUUUGAGUUCAAAUCGACGUAAGU